GACGAACGCUGGCGGCGUGCUUAACACAUGCAAGUCGAACGGAAAGGCCCUGCUUUUGUGGGGUGCUCGAGUGGCGAACGGGUGAGUAACACGUGAGUAACCUGCCCUUGACUUUGGGAUAACUUCAGGAAACUGGGGCUAAUACCGGAUAGGAGCUCCUGCUGCAUGGUGGGGGUUGGAAAGUUUCGGCGGUUGGGGAUGGACUCGCGGCUUAUCAGCUUGUUGGUGGGGUAGUGGCUUACCAAGGCUUUGACGGGUAGCCGGCCUGAGAGGGUGACCGGCCACAUUGGGACUGAGGUACGGCCCAGACUCCUACGGGAGGCAGCGGGGGGGAGUAUUGCACAGUGGGCGGAAGCCUGAUGCAGAAACGCCGCGUGCGGGAUGACGGCCUUCGGGUUGUAAACCGCUUUCGCCUGUGACGAAGCGUGAGUGACGGUAAUGGGUAAAGAAGCACCGGCUAACUACGUG
This 468-nucleotide ribosomal RNA is filed under the name uncultured bacterium. RNAcentral's name for it is "partial 16S ribosomal RNA". It matches the Rfam family "Bacterial small subunit ribosomal RNA", at positions 28 to 507 of the family's 1533-position model. The record is from RNAcentral.